AUUGAACGAGGGAGGAAGGAGGAACACAAGCAAGUCGAGCGGAAGAACGGGGCUUUCUCCUGGAUUCCGCGUGGGACGGGGGCGUGAAGCACAUGAAUCUGCCUCCCAGUGGGGGGUAACGUCCGGAAACGGGCGCUAAUACCACAUACGUCCUGAGCGUGAAAGUGGGGGAUCUUUGGACCUCACGCUCUCUGAUGAGCCUAGGUCGGAUUAGCUAGUUGGUGGGGUAACGGCCUACCAAGGCGACGAUCCGUAACUGGUCUGAGAGGAUGAUCAGCCACACUGGAACUGAGACACGGUCCAGACUCCUACGGGAGGCAGCAGUGGGGAAUAUUGGACAAUGGGCGAAAGCCUGAUCCAGCCAUGCCGCGUGUGUGAAGAAGGUCUUCGGAUUGUAAAGCUCUUUUAGUCGGGAGGAAGGGCUGUACGCUAAUACGUUGCGGUUUUGACGGUACCGGAAGAAUAAGCACCGGCUAACUACGUG
Molecule: ribosomal RNA, 484 nt
Filed under: uncultured bacterium
Lineage: Bacteria
Description: partial 16S ribosomal RNA
Rfam family: Bacterial small subunit ribosomal RNA
Source: RNAcentral